GGGGCUGUGGCUCAGGGGUAGAGCCUCUGCUUGCCAUGCAGAAGGUCUCGGGUUCAAUUCCCGCUAUCUCCA
Non-coding RNA from Heteronotia binoei (common prickly gecko), 72 nucleotides. Lineage: Eukaryota; Metazoa; Chordata; Lepidosauria; Squamata; Gekkonidae. The record is from the annotation of a RefSeq genome assembly.